AUUGAACGCUGGCGGCAGGCCUAACACAUGCAAGUCGAACGAGUGGGGACGGGUGAGUAACACGUGGGUAACCUCCCAUCAGAGGGGAUAAAACUUGGAAACAGGUGCUAAACCGAUACUGAUGGAUGGACCCGCGGUGCAUUAUCUAGUUGGUGAGGAAACGGCUCACCAAGGCCCCGAUGCAUAGCCGACCUGAGAGGGUGAUCGGCCACACUGGGGCUGAUACACGGCCCAGACUCCUGCGUGAGGCAGCAGUAGGGAAUCUGCGGCAGUGGACGGAAGUCUGACCGAGCAACGCCGAGUGAGUGAAGAAGGUUUUCGGUUCGUAAGACUCUGUUGUUAGAGAAGCGGUAUCUAACCAGAAAGCCACGGCUAACCACGUGCCAGCAGCCGCGGUAAUAC
RNAcentral lists this ribosomal RNA (402 nucleotides) under uncultured bacterium. RNAcentral's name for it is "partial 16S ribosomal RNA". It matches the Rfam family "Bacterial small subunit ribosomal RNA", at positions 30 to 526 of the family's 1533-position model. The record is from RNAcentral.